GGCAGUGUUGGUUCAGUGGUUAGAGCAUCAGACUGGGACCUGGGAGACCAGGGUUCAAAUCCUUGCUUGGCCA
This is a non-coding RNA of Podarcis lilfordi (Lilford's wall lizard), 73 nucleotides long. Lineage: Eukaryota; Metazoa; Chordata; Lepidosauria; Squamata; Lacertidae. The record is from the annotation of a GenBank genome assembly.